GACACGGCGCUCUGUCCCGCGGCUCUGAACCCCGGGUGGAGGGGCACCCUAGAUUUGACUAGUUCCUCCGAGGCUCCAGAGCUAGCCAAAGCCUUGCCGGCGGUUACCAAAGGCUUGCAGCCCCGCUAAACUGGGCCGUUUGGAAUUGAGUUUCCCUUGAAGUCUGCAACGCCUGGUCGCCUGCCCGCUGCACUCUUCUGGCGGCGAAGCCCGCACUUAAAGCACGGGUGCCCCUUCAGCAGGAAGGGACAGAAUAGGAUUGCAAGGCGACGGUGUCUCCCCUAAGGACAGCAGGUGUUCCCAGGAAGUGAGACCUACCCAACAGGAGAACAAGCCUACUGGAGGAGGCAAGACCCUUUAGAACAGAGCUGAGUCAUCACAACUGAAGCCAUCCAGACCAGCCAGACCUCAGCUCACUGCAGAGAUGGAGACAGUGUACUUGGAGAAGCAACUCCCUGAGAACACACAGAUGGGAAGUGACAGAAUCAGGAUAAGAAAACUGAUUAUCUUUUACUAAACUGACUAUCUUUUUAUUAAACCUGAUUAUCUUUUAUUAAAC
Molecule: long non-coding RNA, 559 nt
Organism: Talpa occidentalis (Iberian mole)
Lineage: Eukaryota; Metazoa; Chordata; Mammalia; Eulipotyphla; Talpidae
Exons: 3
Source: RefSeq, a predicted model, not a curated record